This 497-nucleotide ribosomal RNA is filed under the name uncultured bacterium. RNAcentral describes it as "partial 16S ribosomal RNA". It matches the Rfam family "Bacterial small subunit ribosomal RNA", at positions 28 to 507 of the family's 1533-position model. The record is from RNAcentral.
GAUGAACGCUGGCGGCGUGCCUAAUACAUGCAAGUCGAGCGAACAGACGAGGAGCUGGCUCCUCGGACGUUAGCGGCGGACGUGUGAGUAACACGUGGAUAACCUACCGAUAAGACUGGGAUAACUUCGGGAAAACGGAGCUGAUACCGGAUAAUAUACUGAACCGCAUGGCUCAAUAGUGAAAGACGGUGGUGCUGUCACUUAUAGAUGGAUCCGCGCCGCAUUAGCUAGUUGGUAAGGUAACGGCAUACCAAGGCAACGAUGCGUGGCCGACAUGAGAGCGAGCGCGAGCACGCCGGAGAGGGUGAACGGUCACAACGCAACCGGGAGGCAGCCGAAGCGACUCUGGGACGAAGGGGGGGAGAAUGAUGGGGAAAGGGCGCGUGAGUGGCGAAGGUACUCGGCGUGUAAAAAUAUGGUAUUAGGGAUGAAAAACUGUGUACGUAACUACGAACGAAGUGACGGUACCUAAUCAGAAAGCCACGGCUAACUACGUG